GUGCUUGUUUCAGCAGCACAUAGACUAAAAUUGGAAUGAUAUAGAGAAGAUUAGCAUGGUCCCAGCGCAAGGAUGACAAAUUCGUGAAGCAUUCUAUAAUUUU
Molecule: small nuclear RNA, 103 nt
Organism: Piliocolobus tephrosceles (Ugandan red Colobus)
Lineage: Eukaryota; Metazoa; Chordata; Mammalia; Primates; Cercopithecidae
Source: Ensembl